Molecule: long non-coding RNA, 288 nt
Organism: Hyla sarda
Lineage: Eukaryota; Metazoa; Chordata; Amphibia; Anura; Hylidae
Exons: 3
Source: RefSeq, a predicted model, not a curated record
CCCACGCAGCACGCAGUACAGGCGCCGGUGACGUCACUCAUCCGCGCCUGUACUGUGGAGGGGAGAAGACGCGGGCCCUGCUGAGGAGAUCGCUGCGUGGGAUAUCAGAUGUUAAGAGAUCCACAUGGCGGUCGUAUCCGGAUGGAGAAGAAAAGGAAAGAGGAGGCCGCUGAUUAGAAAAGACGUAAUUGUGAAUCCUACUCAGCUAUAAUACUCCUGAAUACUGGAGGGUAGAACAAGACAGAGAAGACGCUGCCAGGUACAUUCGGUCCCCGCUGCCAGGUACGU